This 72-nucleotide transfer RNA is filed under the name Camelus bactrianus (Bactrian camel). It matches the Rfam family "tRNA". From Rfam's summary of the family: Transfer RNA (tRNA) molecules are approximately 80 nucleotides in length. The record is from Rfam by way of RNAcentral. RNAcentral also lists the same sequence under 1 other name. Lineage: Eukaryota; Metazoa; Chordata; Mammalia; Artiodactyla; Camelidae.
GAGGGUGUAGCUCAGUGGUAGAGCACAUGCUUAGCAUGCACAAGGUCCUGGGUUCAAUCCCUGGUACCUCCU